This 31-nucleotide non-coding RNA is filed under the name Homo sapiens (human). The record is from RNAcentral. Lineage: Eukaryota; Metazoa; Chordata; Mammalia; Primates; Hominidae.
UCUACAUCCAGCUCAUGCCUCACGGUGACCU